Molecule: non-coding RNA, 2395 nt
Organism: Rattus norvegicus (Norway rat)
Lineage: Eukaryota; Metazoa; Chordata; Mammalia; Rodentia; Muridae
Source: RefSeq, a predicted model, not a curated record
CAAACAAUGGGACUUUUUAUCCCUGUAUUAAUGAAGCAAAUAUUAAAGUCACACAGUGGAGUGCGGGUCACCGGUCACCUCAUUGCCACACACGCCUUGUGAUUCCUGCAGAGGGAGGUUAGAACCACAAACUGCAGGGCAGGUGGAAGUGGUAGGGCCCAGGGUUGUCCCAGAACCUGGUCAGAAAAGGCCACAGGUACAAAGGAAUUUGUUACUGUUGACAACUUUGAAAAUAGAUAAUAGGGAAAUGAAGUAAAGUCCCCAAGUUUCACAACAAAAGCUAUUAUGGUCUUUAGGGGUAGGGCUUCCGGUGGCCAAACUUGUUUGCUGGUUACUAUAACAACCGCAAACCAUCAUCCUCUCACGCUGAAAUAGCUUUUAUCAGGAACUUUCAAGACCGUGAAAGAACAGAUCGCCCGACUGGCUUUAGCAUCUUCUCCCACUCUUCUGUUUUCAGCUGCAGUUGCGCACGUGUUCAGUUCCAGCAAACAGGAAGUAUCCACAUAACUGCCAAAAAGAGGGCGCCACUGCCACGCCCCCUGCCUUAUGUGAGGGCGCCAAUGCCACGCCCCCUGCCUGAAGGAAUGGGCCUUAGAUCCAAUCAGAAAGCAGUUGGUUACCCCCGUAGCAUUCAUGCCACCAUUGUGUUUGAAGGUCUGUCUUGCCAUGCUGAUCAUCACUGCACUUAAUAGAGUGCAAAUCUGGGUGACACUGCACAACUGGACAGCACUGUGACCUUCCUCCUUGGCAGCCUUCACAGCAUCUUCCAGUUCUAUGAAAAGCUGGCUAACAAGAAGGAAGCCGAUCAGGACAAAGCUGGUUUCUCCAUGACUGGCGACUGCCAUGUUAUAUGGUGUCUUCUUCAGCAGGGUCUAACUGCCAAGUUCUGAUGGGCAACUAAGAGGAAGGCUACCUGAUAAGGUCCUAAGACAACAGGCUUGGGAGGAGCUUGGUCCCUGAGCCCACAGAAGGGAUCAUAGAUCACAGGGCAGACAGAUCAAGAACUCAGAGUACAGAUUCCUCGGCCCACUUAUCUCUCUCUAUACAGAUACAUCUUUCAUACUCUGCCCCUACAGGGAGCCACACAUUCUCCUGCCUAAUCGAGACAAAGUUUCAAGCAAGAACAAAAGUUUGCAAGAAGGACAACGUUUCCCAUGGUCCAUCUUGAAAUCCAAACUCCCCCAUGGCCUGUAACCUCCCAUGAUGUUACCGUCCUUGUUCCUCUCAAUUCCACCACUGGGACCUUUUUCUGACCAUCUGCAUACUUGUGGAAUGCCGCACACACUUUCCUCUGCCUGGAUCUCUGACCCUUCACACCCCACAAGAGCCUCUGUUCAUACAUUCCGACAACAAAGGCUUCCUGAGAAAUACUGCUUGUUGAACUUGUGGGCCAGGCACAGCAGGGCACAACAGGAGGAGAAAGGCCUUGCCCUGAUGGAGCUUACCUUCCAGGGUAAGAAAUAACCAAAGACACCAGGAAAUAGUAUGCCUGUCUGUCGGGCAUAAAAGGGGCAAAUGGGCAAGGGGCAGUCACUCUAUGCAAAGAACUUCCCUGAGAUCGAUCCACCAUGACACAUGAAUUCAUCUGAAUUUGCAUUUCAUUCUAGUCUGUCUCCUCUGCUUGAAUGUUAAGGCCACAGAAGCAGGAACUGUCACAUUUUGGUGCACCCUGAACUAGUGCUGGAUAACUUUGUUGAAUAAAUAGUUCCAUGGAAGAGGGGGAAGCAAGGAAAGAAGUGGGAGUGGGGAGUCAUGGGAGGAAGAAGGAAAAGGAGGGAGGGAGGGAAGGAAGGAAGAAGAGACCUGCAGGAGACAGGCGUGUAAAGACCAAGGAGCUAAAGAGAAGAGCAAAGGAAUCAUGGAGCCAGGAGACAGUCAUGUGAUCGAGAAGAUGGUGUCAGAAGAAGAUGGUGACAGGAGAGAGGGGUGUCAGACAAAGAUGGUGGCAGAAGAGGGGGGUGUCAGAAGAAGAUGGUGACAGGAGAGGGGUGUGUCAGAAGAGAGGGGUGCCAAAAGAGAGGGAUGUCAGAAGAAGAUGGUGACAGAAGAAGAUGGUGUCAGAAGAAGAUGGUGACAGAGGAGGAUGGUGUCAACAGAUGGUGGCAGAAGAAGAUGGUGUCAGAAGAAGAUGGUGACAGGAGAGAGGUGUCAGAAGAAGAUGGUGACAGGAGAGAGGUGUCAGAAGAAGAUGGUGACAAGAGAGAGGUGUCAGAAGAGAGGGGUGUCAGAAGAAGAUGGUGACAGACAAAGAUGGUGACAGAAGAGGACGGUGUCAGAAGAGAGAGGUAGCAAAAGAGAGGGAUGUCAGAAGAAGAUGGUGACAGGAGAGAGAGGUAUCAGAAGAGGGGGAUGUCAGAAGAGAGGGGUGUCAGAAGAAGGUGGUGUCAGAAGAGGA